RNAcentral lists this ribosomal RNA (255 nucleotides) under uncultured bacterium. RNAcentral's name for it is "partial 16S ribosomal RNA". It matches the Rfam family "Bacterial small subunit ribosomal RNA", at positions 524 to 777 of the family's 1533-position model. The record is from RNAcentral.
UACGUAGGGUGCAAGCGUUAAUCGGAAUUACUGGGCGUAAAGCGUGCGCAGGCGGUUAUGUAAGACAGGUGUGAAAUCCCCGGGCUUAACCUGGGAACUGCAUUUGUGACUGCAUAGCUAGAGUACGGUAGAGGGGGAUGGAAUUCCGCGUGUAGCAGUGAAAUGCGUAGAUAUGCGGAGGAACACCGAUGGCGAAGGCAAUCCCCUGGACCUGUACUGACGCUCAUGCACGAAAGCGUGGGGGAGCAAACAGGG